RNAcentral lists this ribosomal RNA (274 nucleotides) under uncultured bacterium. RNAcentral's name for it is "partial 16S ribosomal RNA". It matches the Rfam family "Bacterial small subunit ribosomal RNA", at positions 523 to 796 of the family's 1533-position model. The record is from RNAcentral.
AUACGGGGGGUGCGAGCGUUAAUCGGAAUUACUGGGCGUAAAGCGUACGUAGGCGGUUGGUUAAGUUAGAUGUGAAAGCCCCGGGCUUAACCUGGGAACUGCAUUUAAAACUGGCGAACUAGAGUUGAGUAGAGGGGAGUGGAAUUUCAGGUGUAGCGGUGAAAUGCGUAGAGAUCUGAAGGAACACCAGUGGCGAAGGCGACUCCCUGGACUCGAACUGACGCUGAGGUACGAAAGCGUGGGUAGCAAACGGGAUUAGAAACCCUAGUAGUCC